Molecule: long non-coding RNA, 5008 nt
Organism: Triticum aestivum (bread wheat)
Lineage: Eukaryota; Viridiplantae; Streptophyta; Magnoliopsida; Poales; Poaceae
Exons: 9
Source: RefSeq, a predicted model, not a curated record
CCCCACGUCGCGCGUCCCAUGGCUUGCCUGGGGCUGGAGCGAGGAGCCCAUUGGGCACGACCGCACCAACCCUAGCUCCCGAUCCACAGCCAUGCACUCCUCCCUCCUCCCUCUCACAGCCGCCACACCCCAUUCCUCUCUUCCUCCUCCCUACUCCUUCCCGGAUCCCUGCCACCGCCACACCCACUCGUCUCCUCCUCUCUCUUCUAGCUAACGCCUCCUUCAUGAUCUCUGCGUCAGCCGUAGCGCGAGAGGAGCAGCGGCAGCGGAGAUGCUCCGAUGGCGGCGUCGAGUUGUGAAGCGGCGGUGCCCGGGCGCGAGUCGACAGAAGCCGGAGCGGCUACUCCGGGCCCCGAUCUGGGGGGGUUUGGUUCCAGGGCACCGACAGCUUCUUUGUCUAUGACGCGGGGCCGUGUCGCCGGGGGAAGCCUUGGAUCCAUGCAGGGGGGCUCCCCGGGGGGCGCAGAGGAGGGGGUUGGACGAGCGGGUGAGGAUGCGUGAGGCCAGAAGGAGUUUGGGGUUGCCAGAGAAGCAUAGCCCGCACGGGGGCUAGUCAUCGCUAGAGCAGAGGGGAGGAGGUCGAUGCAGGGGACGCCAUGGAUGGUCGGGGCGCUGGCUCCUCCUUUCCCCGUGCCACGGCUGCCCAGAUCCGGCGAUCCCCUCCCACUCUGGCAUCCAGGUUGGUUGACUCGAUCUCUCAAUCACCCCACCGCCGCGCUGCACACCGUCGUCAAGGACCAAGCCGCCGCCGCCACAGUGUCCUCCUCCUCGGUGGCCGCGGGUGCCCUGGCCGCCAAGCUGCCCAUUCUUAUCUUUCUGGAGGCAAUCUGGUAGUGCUGAGCGCACGAUGAUGCUGUCACGGUAUCCCCCUCCCCGGUGUUCUUAGAUCCAGCAGUAGCUCAACGCAGGAAAGCCGGUUGUGCUCGAUCUGCUCCCCUCCUUCGCCUCACAGGCUCAGCAAGCAGGAACAAUGUUAGCUCUGUUUCUCCCACUCCCCUCCCCCCUCUCCCUCCUAUAGAUUUAUCUCUAAUGGCAACGCCUAUGGGUUCGGUGUAUCAUAGCUUUUUUUUCUUUCUUCCAACUGAAGCCUGCUCUCAUUAUGCCUGCCACCUCUCUAUGAGAUCAGUAGGUUUGAUCGCCUUGUCUGCAAUUUGGCUGAUUCCAGUUAGUAUUCUUGUUCUUUAUGGGAGAUACGAGUUUGGAUGUAGCUCACUGGCCAGGAGACCUGCGAUGCCAGCAGACCAAUCUAGAUCUGCACGUGUUGAAUAUGCAAACAGUUAUGUAAUAUGUGCAGUUUACUUGCUCUAUUUUUACGGGGAUUUUGGAAUUUUCCAUACAUGCAUGUCCCAGAUCCGUUCUGUGAUUUCCAUUAUCUAUUUACUUGUGACCCAAGUGUGUCUUAUUUCCAUCUUUCUUUGUCUUGAUAUAGCUGAAGGUCAACUGCUAGCCCAUCCGUGCAAUUCACUAAUUUAAUUAUGCCUGCUUGCUCGAAGUCUAUUUUAUAGAUGGCCGGCAUAUUAUCGUGGGAGGUGUUUAACUGUUUUCUCUGGAAUAAACUGAAAGCUGGUUAUUUUGAAAAUGCAUCAUACCGCGUUGAUUUAUAAUAAGAUUGUUACGCAUCAUCAGUUUUUGGCAUAUGCUUUUGAAUUAUAUAUCGCCAUGCCAAGUUGCCAACUAACUGAUACAUGGUUAUGGUUGAGGAACAAUGUUGAGCAGUACAAGGUUACACCAUCACAGUUCAAACACAUCUUUUUUGGUUGAUAGUUUUUGAGAUAGCUUACUGCUUAUGCCCAAUGGGAGUUUAAUUGGGCAUCUUUAAUAUUCUAAGAAUCACACCGGCGCAGCACACUUAGGUUGUUUCCAGAUCUGAUGUUUGUCUAAGUCACCAAGUUAACCCACAAGAAUUUGUUUACUUUCUUGGCUAUUGUGGUUAAAGGCAUCCUUUUAUUAGAGCUAUAUAUAGUUUUUGGACAUGUUCCAGUUUGGUUAUUUUUUUAUGGAUUUUGAAUAUGUUUCAAUUUGAUCACUUUUGAGACUCAGUUAGAAUAGAUAAUUUUUGUUUCUUUACCAUAUAGUUCCUAAUCAGAAAAGCCUCAUCUGCAGGUUGGAGGCAUUGGCGUGAAGGUGUCAUGAGUUAUCUGCAAGGGCAUUGUUGUGACGUGCUCCUCCAUGUCUCCCGCGAGUUCUUGGUGUGGCGAUCAUGGCUCCAGAGAGCAUAAAAUCGACAUCAUGGAUGUCGGUGGCAGAAUGACGGAGGAGCGGGAGAAGCAGGAGCUGCUCGGACACGCUAGCGCAAGUGAGAUCUUCCAGCAUGCACCAACGGACAAGCCGGCAUUCAUGCUGGCCCAUAUCAAGGAGGCAAUCCCACCUCACUGCUUCCAGUGCUCGUUGAUCAAGUCCUUCUCCUAUGUGGUCUAUGACCUCGUCAUCAGCGCGUCCCUCCUGUACGCCGCGUUGGUCUGGAUCCCAACACUCUCGAGCAUGCAACAGUUGGGCGCCCGUCCGCUCUACUGGGUGCCUCAUUUUGAUUUUCUUACCUUGGUGGGUUUGUAUUCAGAAAAUUAAUUUGCCUAUUUUUGCUUUUUAAUCUGUGUUGGGAGAAAGAUGUUCCUCUUUGUUGAGAAAAUGUUUAUUGUAUGGACCAUACAAAGUUCUUUCUCCAAAUGUUAUUGUGUGGUGCAACUAUGAUCUGUUUUCCUUGUGCAGAGGGCUGCGACGAGGCAAACAGGUGGCGGGCGGCAACAAUAGGGGUUGGCGGAUGCUCCGAGACCAAUAGCCUACUUAGUGAUGGGAAGGAGGAUCCGACAAGUUAGCCCCCACAAUUGUGUUGUUGGAGAACUUCUGCGGGCUCAGUAAAAUAAUGAAUCUUCGUCUCCGAUGUUUUCUCUUGAAAAUGGAGCGCGGAUCGCAGGAGCAAGGAGCUGGUCGAGUGUAGUGAACAAGCAAUCAACGCGGCACAUUUGGAAGUUGUGAGAGAUGUGAAUGGCACCGGUCUUGUCAUACUAAUGAGCAGGAGCACCGGCCACAUUACUCUUCAUGCCACUCUGAGCAGUCGGCUGCUGCUUGAGAUUGAUUUCCAUGUUCAAGGGAAGGGAGACCGGAUUGAGUUCCUGUAUAUGCAAUAAGAAGGGGCAUUGUCGUGGUUGUUGCUGAAGGUGUUGGUCAGGAGCUGAUUACCGGGACUGAUGUAUGUCAACAUGCUGUUCCUUAACGUUGGCCCUCUUCUAUAAAGUUCACAUGCAACUCUCCUCCACGGUUAGAAAAAACUAAUUUAAACAUUUUGUUUCUUUGAUGGUUACUCAUUUCUCUUACCAUUGUUGUAUCAAAACAAUUGUAUUUUUGCUGAUGGCCGCUUGGGCUCAUUUUCGAAGAGAAUGAGAUGUGGAAUAAACUACUCUGAAAUGAAUAAUAAUUCAAGUGGGCGGCUGAUGCGCCUUGUUGUUUAGCGGUAUGAUCUAUGAUGGUCGGCGAAAGUAUGUUCUAUAUUGCAAGAUGGUGGCCGCUGAUGUCAAGCCUCUCGAGAUCUGAGAGCCUCCUCCAACUUCCCCUCCCCACCAAGGAUGACGUAGUAACCACAUGCAGAAUUACCUACAACUUGAGUAGAUGCACAUUAUUCACUUCAUAUUCCAAUGGUUUUACUUCCACAUCACAGGAUUUGUUGAGAAUGGGUGUGAGAAAAUUAACCAUUUGGUGGAUUUAUAUGCAUGGUACUCAGACAUAGUGAAAGCAAAGACUGAAAGGUUUCGAUUUAGAUGAUUUGGAGGUGCCUUGUCCAUCUUCUUAUCUCCAGGUCAAAAUUAAGCAGAUGUUUUAUUGCUAAAGGACAUGCUCUUACUAUCUGAGAUGGAUGAUGAUGCGCGGUACAACCAAAAAUUCUGAGUUGGGCUUUACACACUUCAGUGGGCAAGUGAAUUCCCAGUUUUUCUUCUUUCCCCUGUUACUUCUCUAUUGUACAAAGAGCAAUGAGUUUAUAUUAGCUGAAUCCUGAAUGUUAGAUUGGAAUGCAAGAGUAGCAUCACAACACGGGGGUGGAGACCUGAAGUGAAGCAGAGGGGCGGCGAACAAAGGAAAUCAGAGUCGUGCUAGAUGUGAACAAUGUCGCAGAUACUCGGACUGGUAGCCAAGAUGAUUAUUCUCAAUAACAAUGCAGAUUUGAUCCUUCCGUAGGUAGAUAAAGCAUGUUGGUUUGGUCACCUUGUUUCUGAUUUUGUUUGCAAUUGGCAAACUCUAUUAUUUCUAAUUACAUGCAUUUCAAAUCUACUGUAGUGUUUCCUCGAAUGUAAUCUGGAGUGGGAUUGUGCAUAAGAAGAAAAUGGGCAUUAGAAAUCUCUUGAAACUGCGAUCAUAUUCCAGAACCAAAGUUAUUCACGUUUACAUAAUAAGAAUUUUUCAUUUAUUUAAUGCUUAUUCAUGUUAACUGUCUGAAUGAGCUCAUCAGUUCCAUUGUUCUAGGUUAGCCAUCAAACAGAUAACCUAUUUAUUUCUUGUCCUUACUAGAGGAAUGCUGCUUAUGCCUUCUUUCCAGAUACUGUCUGAGUUGUGAUGCUCUCCAUCAUGCACACGUGGUAUCAUUUUGGGAAGUGAACCUAUUUGCCCACCUGAUUGCUUUCAGUACAAGGGAACAGUUGAUGUAUUCUUGAAAGUUGUUAGACAGGAAGGAUUUGGUAGAUUAUGGAGAGGUACAAAUGCUGGCUUGGCAUUAGCUAUAUCAACUGUUGAUCAUCUGGGUUUUAAAGAAGAAACUAAGCUAAAUUAAGGUUCCUGGUUACAGCACGCACAAUUUGGUGUCCUGAUAUCCUCUGUGUAUCCUCUUGAAGGAGGAUUGGGUGAGAUUGUUGUUGCGACAAGAAUUGGUACUAGGCUGGGUGAUACAAUAAUAGAUUUCAUCCAAGGAAUAACCAAUUUAAAUGUUCUGUUUCUUUGAUGUUUACUCAUUUCUCUUACCGUCGUUGCAUCAAAACAAUUGUAUUUUCACCCUAAAAAAAUAAUUGUAUUUUCGUUGAUGGCC